This 72-nucleotide transfer RNA is filed under the name Camelus bactrianus (Bactrian camel). It matches the Rfam family "tRNA". Rfam says of the family: Transfer RNA (tRNA) molecules are approximately 80 nucleotides in length. Their secondary structure includes four short double-helical elements and three loops (D, anti-codon, and T loops). RNAcentral also lists the same sequence under 1 other name. The record is from Rfam by way of RNAcentral. Lineage: Eukaryota; Metazoa; Chordata; Mammalia; Artiodactyla; Camelidae.
GUGGGUAUGGCUCAGUGGUCGAACACCUGCUUAGCAUUCAUGAAGUCCUGGGUUCACUUCCCAGUACUUCCA